AGAGCGAACGCUGGCGGCAGGCCUAACACAUGCAAGUCGAGCGCCCGUAGCAAUACGGGAGCGGCAGACGGGAUAGUAACACGUGGGAACGCGCCCUUCGGUUCGGAAUAACUCAGGGAAACUUGAGCUAAUACCGGAUACGCCCUUACGGGGAAAGAUUUAUUGCCGAAGGAACGGCCCGCGUCCGAUUAGCUAGUUGGUGAGGUAAUGGCUCACCAAGGCGACGAUCGGUAGCUGGUCUGAGAGGAUGACCAGCAUCACUGGGACUGAGACACGGCCCAGACUCCUACGGGAGGCAGCAGUGGGGAAUAUUGGACAAUGGGCGCAAGCCUGAUCCAGCCAUGCCGCGUGGAUGAUGAAGGCCUUAGGGUUGUAAAGUCCUUUUAACGGGGAAGAUAAUGACGGUACCCGUAGAAUAAGCCCGGCUAACGUUCGUGCCAGCAGCCGC
RNAcentral lists this ribosomal RNA (448 nucleotides) under uncultured bacterium. RNAcentral's name for it is "SSU rRNA". It matches the Rfam family "Bacterial small subunit ribosomal RNA", at positions 26 to 518 of the family's 1533-position model. The record is from RNAcentral.